Molecule: ribosomal RNA, 464 nt
Filed under: uncultured bacterium
Lineage: Bacteria
Description: partial 16S ribosomal RNA
Rfam family: Bacterial small subunit ribosomal RNA
Source: RNAcentral
GACGAACGCUGGCGGCGUGCCUAACACAUGCAAGUCGAGCGAAUGAAGUUCCUUCGGGAAUGGAUUUAGCGGCGGACGGGUGAGUAACACGUGGGCAACCUGCCUCAUAGAGGGGAAUAGCCUUCCGAAAGGGAGAUUAAUACCGCAUAAGAUUGUAGUAUCGCAUGAUACAGCAAUUAAAGGAGCAAUCCGCUAUGAGAUGGGCCCGCGGCGCAUUAGCUAGUUGGUGAGGUAACGGCUCACCAAGGCGACGAUGCGUAGCCGACCUGAGAGGGUGAUCGGACACAUUGGGACUGAGACACGGCCCAGACUCCUACGGGAGGCAGCAGUGGGGAAUAUUGCACAAUGGGGGAAACCCUGAUGCAGCAACGCCGCGUGAGUGAUGACGGCCUUCGGGUUGUAAAGCUCUGUCUUCAGGGACGAUAAUGACGGUACCUGAGGAGGAAGCCACGGCUAACUACGUG